Molecule: ribosomal RNA, 432 nt
Filed under: uncultured bacterium
Lineage: Bacteria
Description: partial 16S ribosomal RNA
Rfam family: Bacterial small subunit ribosomal RNA
Source: RNAcentral
AACGAACGCUGGCGGCAUGCCUAACACAUGCAAGUCGAACGAGACCUUCGGGUCUAGUGGCGCACGGGUGCGUAACGCGUGGGAACCUGCCCUUAGGUUCGGAAUCACUCCCCGAAAGGGGUGCUAAUACCGGAUAAUGUCUUCGGACCAAAGAUUUAUCGCCUUUGGAUGGGCCCGCGUUGGAUUAGCUAGUUGGUAGGGUAAAAGCCUACCAAGGCGACGAUCCAUCGCUGGUCUGAGAGGUUGGUCAGCCGCACUGGGACUGGGACACGGCCCAGACGCUUGCGGGGGCCGGAAGGGGGAAUAUUGGACAAUGGGCGAAAGCCUGAUCCAGCAAUGCCGUGUGAGUGAUGAAGGCCGUAGGGUUGUAAAGCUCUUUUACCCGGGAUGAUAAUGACAGUACCGGGAGAAUAAGCUCCGGCUAACUCCGUG